GUAACAACUACUGGGAAAAUGAUUCAAGAAACAAAACAGAAGUGGCCAGCACGACUGUUUCUAGUUGCUGUAGAGCAUCUCCUCCUUUCCUGCUUUCAGCCACAGCCUUCCUGUCCCACCCCUCCCGAGCUCACUGUGGAGGUCAGAUGUGGACCUUCUGGAAAUGCAGGAGGACCAAAAGCCACUGGGAGUAGGAAUUCCUAUCUAGAAGAAAAGACAUAGUGGAGAACUUCCAAGCUAUCUGCUGGCAGAUGCUGCUUCUGCUUCCUUAUGGAAAGACAGUAUCUUUGUUCCACCCAAUUAAAUAGAUACGGAAAGCCCUUCUGAGCUGAGCCUAGUAUGAUGUCCUGGAAGUCUUGCUUCACUGCAAAUUGGAGCCUUCAUUUGCACUCAGGAGUCUUGAGUCUCAGUUGAGGAUGACUAUGGCCUGUCUUAUGUGUGUGUAAGUACUUAAAAUGGAAGGAGAUGACAAAUUAACAUUUUAAACUAAGUGGGAUGCGUGUGUGCAAGGAGUGGAAGAAAACUGCCUUUAGACAAAAUCCAGAUAAUAUGUAGAUAGUGGAGGACAAUACUCAUUACAGCCAUUCCACUUCAAAUGGCUUUUCAUUCCUAG
RNAcentral lists this long non-coding RNA (613 nucleotides) under Gallus gallus (chicken). RNAcentral describes it as "lncRNA (ENSGALG00010003578.1)". Lineage: Eukaryota; Metazoa; Chordata; Aves; Galliformes; Phasianidae. The record is from RNAcentral.